Gadus macrocephalus (Pacific cod) is the source of this 832-nucleotide long non-coding RNA. RefSeq lists it as uncharacterized. The transcript is spliced from 3 exons. The record is from RefSeq and is a predicted model, not a curated record. Lineage: Eukaryota; Metazoa; Chordata; Actinopteri; Gadiformes; Gadidae.
GGGCUCUGACGAUACUGGAAAGCGGGAAAGCGGGUCAUCUUGCCUCGCAACAAGCAGGAAGAAGCGGGAAGAACCCGGCGAACCGAUUUGAUUGGCUGACGCCUUCCCACGUCCGUUGACUUACGGUGCAGUGGGCACGAGGCGUGAGGCAGCCGCAGAACCAAUUAUUACGGCCCACCUCUUCCCUGUAUUUAGCUAUGAAAAACGUAAGUUUGCGAGAGUGGAAGACGGCAAUGGACAAACCAAAGCGUAAACUUAAAGGUGGAGCUGAAAAGCUCAGGGCCAAAAGGCUCAAAAAUCUAGCCGCAGACGCCGGAAAAUGUGCUAAAAUAACUGACAUGUUCAGUGGAGGUGCUUCGGGAGCCCCCUCCACCUCAGGUGAAUCAAGCACCACCAGCACCAGUGGACAGGGCGAGGGGGCUAGCUGUAGCGAUCCACCCAUGGAGACAGCACAGAUGGUGGAAGAUGAACAGGGAGGAGGAGAUGAUGAGUCCGAACCCGAGGGUCAUGGACUGAGUGAGCCGCUGCCGGUGCACCAGUCAAGCCAGACUGUUGAGGCAGAUGUUGACUACUUUUGCCGUCCAGACCGUGCUACACUGCAAACUUUUUUGAACCACCAUCCAAAGCAAGAUGCUCCAAACCCAAUAGGAAAGGUCUUCACAAACAAAGAAGGUUUCAUGAGUGUUUGAUGGACUGUAGUCGGUGUAGACAGACAAGGCUAUGCACCAAGUGAGUAAACAUAUAAACAUAUACACAUUACCACAACAUAAAAGUGUUACAAAUCUGAUGUUGUAUGUGCCUAACAUCAGAGUGGGUAUGUGCCCCCCCCCCC